AUUGAACGCUGGCGGCAUGCCUUACACAUGCAAGUCGAACGGUAACGGGCCUUCGGGUGCCGACGCGUGGCGCACGGGUGAGUAAUACAUCGGAACGUGCCCGAUCGUGGGGGAUAACGAGGCGAAAGCUUUGCUAAUACCGCAUACGAUCUACGGAUGAAAGCAGGGGACCGCAAGGCCUUGCGCGGACGGAGCGGCCGAUGGCCGAUUAGGUAGUUGGUGGGAUAAAAGCUUACCAAGCCGACGAUCUGUAGCUGGUCUGAGAGGAUGAUCAGCCACACUGGGACUGAGACACGGCCCAGACUCCUACGGGAGGCAGCAGUGGGGAAUGUUGGACAAUGGGCGCAAGCCUGAUCCAGCCAUGCCGCGUGCAGGAUGAAGGCCUUCGGGUUGUAAACUGCUUUUGUACGGAACGAAAAGCCUUCUUUUAAUACAGGAGGGUCAUGACGGUACCGUAAGAAUAAGCACCGGCUAACUACGUG
RNAcentral lists this ribosomal RNA (482 nucleotides) under uncultured bacterium. RNAcentral describes it as "partial 16S ribosomal RNA". It matches the Rfam family "Bacterial small subunit ribosomal RNA", at positions 30 to 507 of the family's 1533-position model. The record is from RNAcentral.